UCUUCCAAUCACCCAGGCUACUUUAGCUUCCCUGAACCACGCCAGCCAAAGACACUGGACGACCUGUGCCCUCUCACGCAGGAUGCAUCUCCUUGAGUGCUUUGGGAGCCCCACCACACUGGUUUCUCUGUGAGGUCAUCUUUGCCAUGAUACUCUGGCCUCCUUCCUGGUAACUUCACACAUUCUGAUUUGCCACACUUCUGAAGGUGUUCAAUUAAGUCAAAACAUAAGGGCCUUCUGAGCAUUCAGCUCUGUACUUCAAGCCAUGGAGGAUAGAAAAGUCCCUAGGGGGAUGGCUAAGAGUCGUCCAAGGCUUGUCCACCCAAAGGGAGGCCCAAAGAGAAAGAAUUCCACUGUCAGUUAGAUUGGGGAAUCUUGAUCCUUCAAAACACCUAUUUUUAUAUGAAAGUUUCUGUGAAGUCCUGUCAUAAAGAAAAUCUGUUGCCGUUUUUUUUUUAAUCAUUGCUACUGACAUCUCAAGGACCUAAUGAAUGCUUUUGGAAUAUAAUUUAGGAAAUGAGUUAACUGCUCUUCAGCCUAAGGAAGUAUAAUCUCUAAGGAGCAUUUGGACACAGGCAGUAGCAUUUUGGGUUGUCAGAAAGAGAGGGAGGUGCUCCUGGCUUUAAUGUAUGGGGGAGGGGUAAUGCGACAGCGCAGACAGUGCACCCCAGCCUCACUAAGCCAAGAACAGUUCUGCCCCAAGUGUCCUGGGCAGUCCCCACCCCACUGACAAGUGGUGGCUGGACAAGUGCUCAGCACCAAGACUUCGACCCCCGCCUCCGCCACCCACAGGGUCUAACCCUUCCCGGCUAUCUCAGUCCCCUGGUCCCUUGCUUCCUCUUAUCGGGGUGCCUUCCUGGCAUUAGGGCAUUACGGGACAGAGUUCAUCCUUGGGUCUGGCAGAGGCAAGUAGAGAGCAGGGCUCCACAGUUCCAGAGUGGAUGAAAACAGGGUGCUCAAGUGGACCCGGGAGAUAAAGAGGAAAGGGCUCGUCUUCCUGAAAGUUCUUUCACCUCACCUCGUCUGGCAGAGAGAAGCCUGCCCCAUGGCUCAAGCCAAAGAGAACACACCUGGCGCUUAGCCAAAGUCAGGUGACUUGAAAAGGAACGUGAGAAGGGCGGGUGCAGCCCUCCAUCCUUCGGGGUUAAAGGAGACACCAACUUCCACAGUCUGCAAAGUCGGGGGAUUCGGUCUGUGCCUGCUUCUGUCAAAACAGAAAACGCCCAUGGCAACCGGCAAGUGUUACCUGAAACCGCAGAGUGUGUUUCACAAAACAAGGGUGGCUCAUCGAUAGUCACCCGGGGAGAUUCUGGCCCCGGGCCCACGAGGUGGCAGUUGGUGGGUGGGAUCUCUGCAGAGCUGGGGGGUUUCCGGGCCUCCACCCUUGCAGGGAGGAGCCGUGGGGGAGCGGGCGGCCCUGCCCGCCGAGGGACCGAAAGCCCCCUCCAUCUGCGCCUGGGGCGGGAGACCGGCGAGCAAUUGGACUUGAGACGGAGAACUGCGAUCACCAUCCGCCUCCUGUCCUACACACAACGGAGGAAGCAACGCCGGCACAUUUGCUCAUUGCAGGACAAGUCCCGUUUCUGCUCCCCUCAUUCGGCUGUAAAUAUGCGUCGUUGCGUGGUGGUUUCUGGAGCAGUCGAAAUGGUCUUCUCCCAGGAUAUUGCUUUGCGUCUGUUCUCCCCUUCCUCUUUCUCUCUCUGGAUUAAUUAGUACAGCCCCCACCAAUCCAUGAUCAGCUUGGAAGGCAUACUAAGCACCCACCAUUGAUUCUUUGACCCAAGUGAAGCACACACAUGGCAUCAGGGGGAACUAGGGAUAUGUACUCACCAACUUUGCAGAGUAAAAGAAAUCUCUGUGAUUGUCAGAAACAGACUAGAACUGUCAAAAGGAUACAAACUCAACACGUUAACUCCAAGUAAUCUCUGCCCUUCCCUGCUCACACUUUAAUCAUGUCACAGCUAUGAUCAGGGGCUGGGGGCUCCGGUCCUCAGGACACCUGCUACACUUUCAGUCCCUGCCAAGAACUUCUGCCACCCCACACAGAGUCAUACCCAUGACCCCAUCACCCUGGAUCCAAGCAGCUGCCCACUUCUGGUUGGUGAGCCAGUUGAAGGCUCAGCCCAGUGACACAAUGAAAUCCUCUAUCUUGGCAAACUUGACAAGGAGACUUUGAGGGAACACUUGUUAGUAAAGGAGACAGAGACAAAGCAGGGAUUUGGGGUCCUGAAGCAACAGAUGUGUAAAUAAACAGCAGGAAGAGCAGGGGCAGAGGAGUCCCCAAGUUGCCCCACUGAUGAAGCAUGAAGGCAAGGAUGGAUGGAGCCUGCUGCUCAGCUGACAAGAUGACGGAGCGUCAUUUUCUUAGGACUCUUGGUUCCUGCACUACAUCUAUUGGGCUCUCCAGAGAUCCUGUGUGGUUUGUCCCAGGUCACCAUUAGAUCUGUCAUUUGGUCUAUGGCCCUUACUUCCUUUUCUAUGUGUGGUCUUAAAAUAAAUCCUACCAUGCUUAAAAGAACUUAGUGGAUCUCUACUCCUUCCAAUCUAGCUCCUGAUCACUUUCUCAUCUUUUAAAUAACUUAAUAAGUUAAAUAAUAUGGCAGGAUUCUUGAUCACCUUUUGUUCAGCCAACUCUCUCUAGAUUCAUCAAGGAUUUUCUAGGAAAGAGAAAGUUUCCCUGGUUAGAGCUCCCUUUCCCCUCUGUGUCCCUCCAUUUAUUUCUGCUUGAUUAUUCAUUCACUCAUUCAUUCUCGCCACAAGCUCACAUGGAUUCUAAAACGCACAGGGCCACAUCCAUGCUUUGGAGGAGCUCAUAGGUUUGCAAGGACAGCAUCAUAAGUGGGGUCAGUGCAGGAGUGAAGAGAAGGGUGGGUGCUGCAUGCACCCCAAGGUGGAGGCACUGGAAUCUGGGGCAUUAAAGUGGGGUUGGGGAAGGCUAC
Long non-coding RNA from Bos taurus (domestic cattle), 2939 nucleotides. The record is from Ensembl. NCBI's taxonomy places the organism in Eukaryota, Metazoa, Chordata, Mammalia, Artiodactyla, Bovidae.